CUCAUUUGUUGCACACCCACGACCAAAGAACCAUCCCCUUUCUCCCAUCUCCUUUCGCCAGAGGCUCACCCACGACGAAACAAUUACGUAGCUCAGGUCACGUAAUAGAGCUCAAGCAUUAAGGGUGUGACUGAGAAGAGGUUGUAAUGGCUACGGCUACAUAUCCACCACCACCACCAUACUACAGACUUUACAGAGAUUACUUACAGAACCCAAAAUCAGCUCCUGAGCCUCCCCCGCCUAUUGAAGGGACCUACAUUUGUUUUGGUGGCAACUACACGACUGAUGAUGUGCUUCCGAACUUGGAAGAGCAGGGAGUGCGCCAGCUAUACCCAAAAGGACCAAAUAUUGAUUUUAAGAAGGAACUGAGGUCACUUAACAGAGAAUUGCAGCUGCAUAUUUUGGAGCUUGCAGAUGUUCUUGUUGAGAGACCAUCACAAUAUGCGAGGAGAGUGGAGGAAAUAUCCCUUAUAUUUAAGAACAUACACCACCUUCUCAAUUCAUUGCGUCCCCAUCAGGCUCGAGCGACAUUAAUUCACAUUCUAGAACUCCAAAUACAAUGCCGCAAACAAGCUGUCGAGGAUAUAAAGAGGAGAAGAGAGGAGGCCCAGAAACUUCUCAAGGAAUCCCUUGCAACCUUGGACGGACACUAGUGCAUGAUUGAGAUGCUUUUGUUGAAACCAGAACUGCCCGUGUUUUUGUUUACUUAAGCGAAUCUUCAGUUGUUCGAGAGUCCUGGACAUCUCUGUCCUAUUCUACUUCAUUUCAUUCUUUCCACUUUUGAUUAUAUUGGAAGUAUGCCAACCGAGCAGUUGCUGUAUUUUUAACGACUUCACACGGCUCACUGCCUGGGGUGGAGGGUACCUACAAAGAUCCCAGUACAAAGAUUUACGAAGAAAGUGCUAAACGAGAAUCUAAAAUCUAUCAUUGCAGAGAAUGGAACAUGCUGUCAUGCUGAGGCUUUCACACAAGCUGUGGCCUGUGAGUGUUAACAAGUGCUCAAGUACUCCAUACUUGUUCCAAAAAAAAAACGGAACUUAUGGUAUAGCAGAUGAACAUGUUGCCUAUACUUCAGAUGCUUUCAAAUGGGCACCUCGUGUGAUGGAAAAUAGGGUACGAGAGCUUGCCUUCAGAUCGCGUAUACCUAUCGGCGCAACGUCGGGGACUGUAAAUUCCGGCAACGAUGACAGGGACAACUACAACUAAAAAGAACAAGAGACACCGAGUCAUUCACCGACGGUCAACAAGAGCUUAAGGCGGGAAAGAUAAAAAAAACUCUGCUUAGAAGUUGGAACGGGACGAGAUGGACGGGAUUGUGGAUCCGAGAUACAGUUGAUCAUGGUGUAUUUCAAGAACUAAAGUUUGGACAUACUCUUCAAUAACUGAGCAUGCACAAUAACUGAAGGGGAUGGACGGGACAAUAGAGUUUUGAAGGAAAAAAAAUUGACGUGGCAUAAUCGUUAGUGUGUGGGAUCCUUUCGGAGAUUCUCGCAUG
Molecule: RNA transcript, 1495 nt
Organism: Juglans regia (Persian walnut)
Lineage: Eukaryota; Viridiplantae; Streptophyta; Magnoliopsida; Fagales; Juglandaceae
Gene name: mediator of RNA polymerase II transcription subunit 7a-like
Exons: 7
Source: RefSeq, a predicted model, not a curated record